This 529-nucleotide long non-coding RNA is filed under the name Chloebia gouldiae (Gouldian finch). RNAcentral describes it as "Erythrura gouldiae (Gouldian finch) lncRNA (ENSEGOG00005014337.1)". Lineage: Eukaryota; Metazoa; Chordata; Aves; Passeriformes; Passeridae. The record is from RNAcentral.
CCUUCAGCCAGCUCAGGUCUAUAAUUGGUUUGCAAAUUAUCGACGACGUCAAAAAUCUCGCCUCCUUCAUAUGGAAGAGCUCAACAAUUCUUGUCCUGAGAGGGCUUUGGCUUCCCACAGCAAUGAGCCACAGGAUAAAGGAUCCAACACUCCACAAACUGCAGAUGGAUCUCGUGCAGGCAUCAGCCCUGAGCAAACAGAGAUAACCCACAUGCCUUGUGAGCCAGGAUGGGAGCAAUCAGCUGCACCUCCGUAUAAGCCUCCUGAAGGAACAUAUUUAAAGAUGCUGGAAUCCAGCUGUAUGCAGAGCCCUGAGCAGUAUGAAACUGCAACAAGCGUGGCUUUGUUCACCACUCACAGCACUGAACAACCUGUACCUUUUGGCACCGAGGCUGUGAUGGAACCAGGAACCUACUUUGGCUCUCCUGUGCUGCUGCCUGGAGAAGCAGUGAGCAGUGCUGCUGCCAGCCCCUGGCAGGGGAACUUUGUCCUGCACUCUUAUGAGUCCCUUCCCUCUGUGAAUUAUUGG